This 76-nucleotide ribosomal RNA is filed under the name Clostridium baratii. RNAcentral's name for it is "partial 16S ribosomal RNA". It matches the Rfam family "Bacterial small subunit ribosomal RNA", at positions 1 to 76 of the family's 1533-position model. RNAcentral also lists the same sequence under 1 other name. Lineage: Bacteria; Bacillati; Bacillota; Clostridia; Eubacteriales; Clostridiaceae. The record is from RNAcentral.
UUUAUUGAGAGUUUGAUCCUGGCUCAGGACGAACGCUGGCGGCGUGCCUAACACAUGCAAGUCGAGCGAUGAAGUU